AGUUGAAAUAUGUCUCAGCUUGCUAUAGGCAAUAAUGGAUUAAAAUCUAGCAACAUUCCACCUAUACAGGAAGCCUAGUGUGACUAGAUAAGUAUGUUGGCUAAGUCUUUCAGUACUGUUUUCUGAAGAAGUGCCAAACCUGGAUUGGGAAACUUGCAUGUAGUGAUGUGUUCUAGAGGUCCUUGUAUUUAUGGUGGGGUUAGGUGGGGUAGAACACCAGAAAUUGGUUUCAAAGGAUAUUGAAGUGGCCUUUUGAAUUUCAGAUUUCAUAUGAAUUGAGUUUCCUUUUUUGGCCAUAUCCCUGGUGUGGGGGUUGGGUAUGUUGGAUAGAUGUUACUGUGGGUUUGCCAGCAUGUGCAAUCUCAUGGAUGCUGGAAGAGCUCUAAAUGUUUUUGUUUCUACCGAAGAGUGCAUGGAAAAUCUAAGUCCUAGUCCUUAAUCUUCCAGCCCCUGGUGUGAACUUGUAUUUUUGCCAUUUGGGUAUAAGAGCUUUUACCAACAGAGCUCAUCCAGGGAGGCAGCAGGGCUUGGGCUUUCAGGCUGGAGGUGGCAGUAACACGCACAGCUGAGAUCCUGCCACUGCUGGCUGUCUGAGCCCUCCUCUCUGUGGUUUUCACUCUUCAAGCUAUGCUUGAGUAACCCGCCUCCAGAGCUGCUGACAGGGCUGUGUUCAGAGGCCUUGGAAAUUACACUGUUCAUUUCCUUAUCAUCCCCUGACCUGCAGUGCAGAGCCUUCUGGUGCAGGAACAAGGCAGAAAAAAAUCCAGACGGCUCCCAGCCAGCAUGUGUCAAGGGCUACAAAGAAGGAAAUUGGACUUGCUCACUUAAAAACCAUGGGGUUAGGCUUUGAUUUUUGGUUCCUGCCGAGAGUUAUUUGUGUGUAUGCGCAUGUUCUAUCUCUGUGUAUUUUUAUGGAAUGAGUCUGUGCAUGGCAGAGCUGUAGAGGAGGAUGAAAGCAGAGAGCAGAGGGAAGAUUGAUUUUCUCUUCAAUUAAUUUCUCAGUUGUGCCACCAGGAUGGGCCUGGAAGGAUUAACAUCAGGAAGGUGCCAGGCCAUAUUAAUAUUAAUAUUUUAAAAUAUAUUUCUCUAGCUACAGCUCCGAUUAGACCCCUAGCCUGGGAACCUCCAUAUGCUGCGGGAACAGCCCAGAAAUGACAAAAAACAAAACAAAACAAAACAAACUCCCUCUGCCGUUGUGGAAAGGACUUUGGUUUUACUAUACAUCCUUUGGAAAUCCUUGUUACUCAUUUAGCCAGGGAAGCUUUAAAAGCUGUCCUUGUUUUUUGCCGUUUCCAGAUAGAGCAAUGCACUGCACUUUAGAGAUCGUAGGAUCCUCAGGUGUCUUAUAGCAUGCUCAAGAGUCUCCUCCAACUCUCCUUUUUCAUUGCUCAGUCAUUGCAUUGUGUUAGGGAUCAGUCAUUUAGGAAUAUAGCUAUAAUGAAUCUGACUUCUCAUUAUCUGCUUAAUUAGGAGAACUAAUUAAUAAAAUUUUGAUAGUUAUAGCUGUUAAAGUAGAACAUCCAUAUCAGUGUUACUGAUUCAUUUUUAAAUUAUUGCCCCAGAUUUUUUAAGGCAAAUGUGAGCAGAAUUCCUAUAACAUGAUAUAUUUUGCCAAAUAUAGGCAACUGGUGAUAUUUUUUAUACUUAAAUUGGAAGAGAGGAAUUGUGGCUCAGCGGUAAUGAACCCAACUAAUAUCCAUGAGGAUUCGGAUUUGAUCCCUGGCCUUGAUCAAAGGGUUAAGGAUCUGGUGUUGCUGCGAGCUGUGACGUAGGUCACAGACGUGGCUUGGGUCUGGUGUUGGGUGUGGCCUAGGCCAGCAGCUGCAGCUCCAAUUCGACCUCUAGCCUGGAAACUUCCAUGUGCCAUGGGUGUGGCCC
RNAcentral lists this long non-coding RNA (1878 nucleotides) under Sus scrofa (pig). RNAcentral describes it as "lncRNA (ENSSSCG00035011789.1)". Lineage: Eukaryota; Metazoa; Chordata; Mammalia; Artiodactyla; Suidae. The record is from RNAcentral.